Aethalodelphis obliquidens (Pacific white-sided dolphin) is the source of this 1285-nucleotide long non-coding RNA. RefSeq lists it as uncharacterized. Lineage: Eukaryota; Metazoa; Chordata; Mammalia; Artiodactyla; Delphinidae. The record is from RefSeq and is a predicted model, not a curated record. The transcript is spliced from 4 exons.
CAGUUUCUCGGCGCCAUUUUGUCUGGGCAGCGGUGGCUGCAGGUCUACCGUAUUUUAUGUUUCUGGCGAGACGAGAGCGGAAUCUUUAUCCCGUGGAUUCAUUUAACUGCGGCAGCCACCCACCGUUCCCUCCAGGACAGCACCUAGUGAAGAUCGGAAGAGUAGCGAUCUGUCAGAAAGGUCAGUUGGAAGCGGUAGUUGUCCGGUGGACUGGGGGAUGGCGCAGCUCUAGCGGCACCGGCACCGGAAGUGAAGGGGCCGCUCGGCAGCCAUAGCAGAUUGGUCUGAAGAAAAGGACAGUUAAGUGACAAACAUCCGGAAGUAUUACUGAGCUCCCUGGCUCUUUGUCCACCCUCAUGUUGGAAAUGGUGAGAGAACUGAUGCUGAGUCAUAAGGUUCCUUUGAGAAUGAUAGAAAUGAAAGCAAAGGGAUAGUCUUAUCAGAUAAGUGCUUUUUUAUCUGAAUGUAUUCGGUUUCUUCCAUAAGAUGGCUUUAGUAGUGCUUAGUUGUCUUUAACUUCAUUUGAAACAAUUUUGUUAGAUUGUAUUGUGAUAGCUGUCAUAUCAGCGUACUUUUUUAAAAAAAGCAUCAAAAUUGGUGAAUUUUUGUGUAGCCAUUUUAAUAUUGAAGAUGGAAGGAAAAAAACAGCAGCAUAUUAUGCAUUAUUCAAGAAAGGUUAAAACACAACUGAAAAGGCAAAACAUUCGUGCAGUGUAUGGAAAAGGUGCCGUGACUGAACGUGUCAAAAGUGGUUUGCAAAGUUUUGUGGUAGAGAUUUCUGACUGGACGAUGCUCCAUGGUCGGGGAGACCAGUUCAAGUUGAUAGCAGUCAGAUCGAGACGUAAAUUUCAGAACAAUCAACGUUAUACCACGCAGGAGAUAAGCCGACACACUCAAAAUCUCCAAAUCAGGUGUUGAAAAUCAUUCGCACCAGCUUGGUUAUGUUAAUUGCUUUGAUGUUUGGGUUCCACGUUAAGCGAAAGAAACGACCAUAUUUCUGCACUGCGAUUCUCUACUUACGUAACGAAAACAUUCCGUUUUUAAAAACAAAUUGUGAUGGGCAAUGAAAAUUGGAUACUGUACAAUAAUGUGGAAUAGAAGAGAUGUUAUGGAAGAAUCCGAACAAACUUCUUUGGCCAACCCAAUAUUAUUUGUAAUCUCUAAACCAAAACUUUAUUCUUUAAAACGUUUGUAAUUUUCUUUCCUAGGUACCAGUAUCGAGGUUUACAGUAAUAAGGUAUUCAGUCUUUGCUGAAAAUAAAUUUGUUAUCUUGUCAAAGUAAAA